AUGGCGGCCAGGAGGUUCUUGCAGGCGGCGGCGGAGGGCGUGUCCACGCCAGGCGCCCGGAUCAUCGCCGACGACAGGGACAUCGUCAUCAUCCUCGCCUCGCUGCUCUGCGCGCUCAUCACCGUCCUCGGCAUCGGCCUCGUCGCCCGCUGGUGCGCGUGCGGCGGCGCGGAAGCCAGGGCGCGCGCCGCCGCCAACAGGGGCGUCAAGAAGUCGGUGCUCCGCGCCAUCCCCACCGUCGCCUACGUCUCCGCUGACGCCGGCAAGGGCAAGGGCAAGGAGGAGGAGGCCGCCGCGGCGCCCGAGUGCGCCAUCUGCCUCGCCGAGUUCGAGGACGGCGAGGCCAUGCGCGUGCUGCCCCAGUGCGGCCACGCCUUCCACGCCGCCUGCGUCGACAAGUGGCUGCGCGGCCACUCGUCCUGCCCCUCCUGCCGCCGGAUCCUCGCCGUCCACCUGCCGGCCGGCCAGCGCUGCCAGCGCUGCGGCGCGCGGCCCGACCCCGCCACCUGGAAGCCGCCGGGCCAGUACGGCGAGAUGCCGCCCUUCUUGCCGUAG
This 555-nucleotide ribosomal RNA is filed under the name Triticum aestivum (bread wheat). Its description in RNAcentral is "partial small subunit ribosomal RNA". Lineage: Eukaryota; Viridiplantae; Streptophyta; Magnoliopsida; Poales; Poaceae. The record is from RNAcentral.